UCGGGAAAGCUUACAUGAAGUGUGCCUUUACAUAAAAUCGUAAUCUUUUCUUUACAUGAAUGCUCACACGAGCUGUGAAGUGGGCCUACUCACAUGAGUUGUGAGUCGAAAUGCAAGCUACACGAUGUUGCUCACACGAAUUGUGGAGAAUCUGCAAUAAAUGCAGGACCUCAGCAUCGGUAUGACAUUCAAGACUAGUACCCGAAACAUGAAAUCCUUA
This 220-nucleotide long non-coding RNA is filed under the name Gossypium barbadense (sea-island cotton). RNAcentral describes it as "long non-coding RNA (GBAR_LNC017479)". The record is from RNAcentral. Lineage: Eukaryota; Viridiplantae; Streptophyta; Magnoliopsida; Malvales; Malvaceae.